CACGUCCGGCUCUCCAUACAAUGUAGCCGCCGUGACAUAUAAAAAAGGAGGAGCUUAUAUACCCUGAGGCUCGGGGUGCGGCAGUGUGGAGACCUGUCGUAAUGCGGUAUGCGUAUGCAGCCGCGAGGUUCCCGUCGGCGGAGGCCGGGGAAUUGGAGUCGGGAAAAAUAUGGCA
This 175-nucleotide non-coding RNA is filed under the name human gut metagenome. Its description in RNAcentral is "malK-I RNA". It matches the Rfam family "malK-I RNA". The record is from RNAcentral.